This 497-nucleotide ribosomal RNA is filed under the name uncultured soil bacterium. Its description in RNAcentral is "bacterial SSU rRNA". It matches the Rfam family "Bacterial small subunit ribosomal RNA", at positions 26 to 521 of the family's 1533-position model. The record is from RNAcentral.
AGAUUGAACGCUGGCGGCAGGCCUAACACAUGCAAGUCGAGCGGUAGAGAGGUGCUUGCAUCUCUUGAGAGCGGCGGACGGGUGAGUAAUGCCUAGGAAUCUGCCUAGUGGUGGGGGAUAACGUUCGGAAACGGACGCUAAUACCGCAUACGUCCUACGGGAGAAAGCGGGGGACCUUCGGGCCUCGCGCCAUUAGAUGAGCCUAGGUCGGAUUAGCUAGUUGGUGAGGUAAUGGCUCACCAAGGCGACGAUCCGUAACUGGUCUGAGAGGAUGAUCAGUCACACUGGAACUGAGACACGGUCCAGACUCCUACGGGAGGCAGCAGUGGGAAUAUUGGACAAUGGGCGAAAGCCUGAUCCAGCCAUGCCGCGUGUGUGAAGAAGGUCUUCGGAUUGUAAAGCACGUUUAAGUGGAGAAGGUUGUAACUAAUACGUUGCUAACUUUGACGUUACCGACAGAAUAAGCAACCGGCUAAACUCGUGCCAGCAGCCGUACG